CAUAGGUUUGGUCCUGGCCUUCCUGUUGUCCUUUAACAAACUUACACAUGCAAGCAUCCGCAUCCCAGUGAGAAUGCCCUCCAGGUCAAUAAGACUAAAAGGAGCUGGUAUCAAGCACACACUCGUAGCUCACGACACCUUGCUUAACCACACCCCCACGGGAUACAGCAGUGAUAGAAAUUAAGCCAUGAACGAAAGUUCGACUAAGUUAUGUUAAUUAGGGUUGGUAAAUUUCGUGCCAGCCACCGCGGCCAUACGAUUAACCCGAGCUAACAGGAGUACGGCGUAAAACGUGUUUAAGCGCCACACCAAAUAGAGUUAAACUUUAAUUAAGCCGUAAAAAGCCGUAAUUACUGUGAAAAUAAAUGACGAAAGUGACUCUACAACAGCUGACACACCAUAGCUAAGACCCAAACUGGGAUUAGAUACCCCACUAUGCUUAGCCCUAAACACAAAUAGUUAUAUAAACAAAAUUAUUCGCCAGAGUACUACUAGCAAUAGCUUAAAACUCAAAGGACUUGGCGGUGCUUCAUAUCCCUCUAGAGGAGCCUGUUCUAUAAUCGAUAAACCCCGAUAAACCUCACCAGUUCUUGCUAAUACAGUCUAUAUACCGCCAUCUUCAGCAAACCCUAAAAAGGAACAAAAGUAAGCAUAAUCAUAAUACAUAAAAAAGUUAGGUCAAGGUGUAACCUAUGAAAUGGGAAGAAAUGGGCUACAUUUUCUUAAAUUAAGAAAAUUAACACACGAAAGCCAUUAUGAAAUUAAUAGCCAAAGGAGGAUUUAGUAGUAAACUAAGAAUAGAGUGCUUAGUUGAACCAGGCCAUGAAGCACGCACACACCGCCCGUCACCCUCCUCAAACAAAUAUUAAUACCCCAAAAUUUAUUUACAUACAUUAACCAUGAGAGAGGAGAUAAGUCGUAACAAGGUAAGCAUACUGGAAAGUGUGCUUGGAUGAAU
This 958-nucleotide non-coding RNA is filed under the name Tragelaphus strepsiceros (greater kudu). RNAcentral's name for it is "12S ribosomal RNA". It matches the Rfam family "Bacterial small subunit ribosomal RNA". Lineage: Eukaryota; Metazoa; Chordata; Mammalia; Artiodactyla; Bovidae. The record is from RNAcentral.